RNAcentral lists this ribosomal RNA (427 nucleotides) under uncultured bacterium. RNAcentral's name for it is "bacterial SSU rRNA". It matches the Rfam family "Bacterial small subunit ribosomal RNA", at positions 355 to 774 of the family's 1533-position model. The record is from RNAcentral.
UGGGGAAUUUUGGACAAUGGGCGCAAGCCUGAUCCAGCCAUGCCGCGUGCAGGAUGAAGGCCUUCGGGUUGUAAACUGCUUUUGUACGGAACGAAAAGGUGCCUUCUAAUAAAGGGCGCUCAUGACGGUACCGUAAGAAUAAGCACCGGCUAACUACGUGCCAGCAGCCGCGGUAAUACGUAGGGUGCGAGCGUUAAUCGGAAUUACUGGGCGUAAAGCGUGCGCAGGCGGUUUUGUAAGACAGAGGUGAAAUCCCCGGGCUCAACCUGGGAACUGCCUUUGUGACUGCAAAGCGGGAGUGCGGCAGAGGGGGAUGGAAUUCCGCGUGUAGCAGUGAAAUGCGUAGAUAUGCGGAGGAACACCGAUGGCGAAGGCAAUCCCCUGGGCCUGCACUGACGCUCAUGCACGAAAGCGUGGGGAGCAAACA